GGGCCCGCACAAGCGGUGGAGUAUGUGGUUUAAUUCGAUGCAACGCGAAGAACCUUACCAGGGUUUGACAUCCUGCGAAUCUCUUGGAAACGAGAGAGUGCCUUCGGGAGCGCAGUGACAGGUGGUGCAUGGCUGUCGUCAGCUCGUGUCGUGAGAUGUUGGGUUAAGUCCCGCAACGAGCGCAACCCACGUCUUUAGUUGCCAGCGGUUCGGCCGGGGACUCUAAGAAGACUGCCAGCGCAAGCUGAGAGGAAGGUGGGGAUGACGUCAAAUCAUCACGGCCCUUACGUCCUGGGCUACACACGUGCUACAAUGGUACAGACAGAGGGCAGCCACCUGGCGACAGGGAGCGAAAUCCUUAAACUGUAUCUCAGUUCGGAUCGGAGUCUGCAACUCGACUCCGUAGAAGCUGGAAUCGCUAGUAAUCGC
Molecule: ribosomal RNA, 429 nt
Filed under: uncultured bacterium
Lineage: Bacteria
Description: bacterial SSU rRNA
Rfam family: Bacterial small subunit ribosomal RNA
Source: RNAcentral